This is a non-coding RNA of Tulasnella sp. 419, 86 nucleotides long. The record is from the annotation of a GenBank genome assembly. NCBI's taxonomy places the organism in Eukaryota, Fungi, Basidiomycota, Agaricomycetes, Cantharellales, Tulasnellaceae.
UCCCCUAUGGCUUAGCUCGGUAAAGCGCCUCACUAGUACCUUAACAGGUAAUGAGGAGAUCCAUAGUUCAAAUCUGUGUGGGGGAA